Molecule: RNase P RNA, 315 nt
Filed under: Lacinutrix sp. C3R15
Lineage: Bacteria; Pseudomonadati; Bacteroidota; Flavobacteriia; Flavobacteriales; Flavobacteriaceae
Also listed under: 1 other name
Description: RNase P RNA component class A
Rfam family: Bacterial RNase P class A
About the family: Ribonuclease P (RNase P) is a ubiquitous endoribonuclease, found in archaea, bacteria and eukarya as well as chloroplasts and mitochondria. Its best characterised activity is the generation of mature 5'-ends of tRNAs by cleaving the 5'-leader elements of precursor-tRNAs. Cellular RNase Ps are ribonucleoproteins.
Source: RNAcentral
UAAGUAUUUCGCCUUAUCGCUGUUUUAGUAAUAAAAUGGAGGAAAGUCCGAACACCAUAGUGCAACAUAGUGGUUAAUGGCCACCAGUCGUGAGGCUAGGAAAAGUGCAACAGAAAGUAUGUACAGGUAAUGCUGUAGUGAAACCAGGUAAACUCUAUGUGGUGCAAUGUCAUGUAAACUAAUGCUUGAGCGUGCACGCGCGAUGUUAGAGGGUAGGCAGCUAAAGUGUAUUGGUAACAAUGCACGUAGAUAAAUGAUAAGGGCUUUUUCUUUAUAGAAAGAGUACAGAAUUCGGCUUAUAGAUAUACUUCAUCA